Bacteroides luti is the source of this 91-nucleotide ribosomal RNA. The record is from Rfam. NCBI's taxonomy places the organism in Bacteria, Pseudomonadati, Bacteroidota, Bacteroidia, Bacteroidales, Bacteroidaceae.
GGUUCCACCUCUUCCCAUUCCGAACAGAGAAGUUAAGCCUGAUCACGCCGAUGGUACUGCGUAACAGUGGGAGAGUAGGUAGCUGCCGUUU